RNAcentral lists this non-coding RNA (23 nucleotides) under Arabidopsis thaliana (thale cress). The record is from RNAcentral. Lineage: Eukaryota; Viridiplantae; Streptophyta; Magnoliopsida; Brassicales; Brassicaceae.
GGAUGACCCGAAAGUGCUUCGAU